This is a non-coding RNA of Camelus dromedarius (Arabian camel), 140 nucleotides long. Ensembl annotates it as small Cajal body-specific RNA 11. Its record names the gene SCARNA11. The record is from Ensembl. NCBI's taxonomy places the organism in Eukaryota, Metazoa, Chordata, Mammalia, Artiodactyla, Camelidae.
UUGUCCUGGCCUGUGCUUUUUCUGAUCCUCUGUGCUCAGUUCUAACAGGGGAGUCUGGCAGGACACACAGCAAUCUCCCUCUCAGUUUAGGAGGGCCGUCCUAAGAACUGGGCUGGCUCUUAAAGGCACGAGAGGACAAC